GGCCUUAUAGCUCAGUGGUAGAGCAUGCGAUUGCAGUCGAUGAGCGUGGCUCGAUCACGUGCCAAUAUCGCAGGGUCUCGCGUUCGAACCGCGAUGGGGCCU
Molecule: non-coding RNA, 102 nt
Organism: Steccherinum ochraceum
Lineage: Eukaryota; Fungi; Basidiomycota; Agaricomycetes; Polyporales; Steccherinaceae
Source: the annotation of a GenBank genome assembly